UUUUAGAAAGUAGGUAGAUUCAAAUUAUCACAGUGCGUUCCAAAUAACUGCAGUAGAAAAAGCAAAGCUUUAGGAAUAUGAUUGUGCAAACUGUCCAGAAAGCAUCAAGAACUAUGCUAUACUAUAAGGUUCAAACACAGACAGGCUGACAGGUAUGCAAAGUGCCUCCUGACUUCAUCAGAUACUGAACUAUGCCUUGACCUUGGGGGAUGAGUCUGGCAGCUGUAGAAGAUUUCUGAUUACUCUGAGGUGUGACCUCAGGCCUCUCUCUCAUCACUAGGACUUUCUCACUAACAAUGCCACAGAUCUUCCCACUCUACAUAAUGGCCUCAGAAUCUAGGCCCCAGCCCUGCUUCUUCCUUUUCAGUCCUUGCUCUUCUUUCUCAACCACGACAUAUAAGUGAAACAGAAAGCUAUCUUAUGCUCCCAACUUGUUCCUUCUAGUCUUUUUUAUAUGGUGGUGACUCUCCUUUUCUGUGCUGUCUCUGAAGCACCAUCAGUUGGCUUCUUAUAUCACUACCAUUGUAGCAGACAACUUUUGGAAACAUAAUGCUAUUGCCUGUGGGAUAGCCACAUUUUUAGAACACUAAGGACUAGUCCCUGCUCCUCCAAAUCACUCCCUAAAUGGCCAGUCUGGGCCUCAGAACUUACAAGCAAAGAGAAGUGACUCAGGCUUGCCAUCUAGUGGCAAAUACUAAAUAGACACCCUUAGCAGAAUGCCCUCCUUACUUUCAUUCUUGGGUCAUCAACAAGUCAUGAAUCUGUAAAUAAUAGAAUUAGAUGCUAAACACCAAUUUGAAAAGCUUAAAGGGAUGUAUUUUUGUAAUUUUAAAUAACACACAUUUCUCAAGUAUUUUACUCAGAAUUUGGACUAGAAUUUAAAAUAAAUUUUGAUAGUUCAAAAGUGUUUCUUUGAACUAUUUCUUACAUCUCGAAGUGCCUAUGUAAGGCUUGGCUAAAAUAGCUAUUGUCAUGUCACCAGACCUCAGAAUAGAAGAAGCCAGCAUCCCAUGAUUCUUGGUAAAAAAACAUCCAGUGCUUGGAAAACAGUGCACUAGCUGAAAUGUAAUAGCCUAAGUAUGUAACUCCUAGGAGAAAAUGUCCUUGGUGUAGCCAUCCCAACUUUUACCCAGUCAGAGCCUCAUAUGCAUCAAAGUCAUUUUUAUUCUCUUAACACACACUUACAGCUCUGCGUUUCUAGGAUGCAGAAAACAUAGGACCACAUUUGAUGGGGGCGGGAGUCCACACUGGAUGAACUGAUUGAAAAAGUUCAAAGUUCCUAGUUUUCACGAAUAGUUCAGUAUAAACCUCCAAGCAGUGUAAGCUAUGGCUGGUUGUAAUGCUAAACUGAAUCCCUGGGUGGAACGCUGUACUUAAUUACAAGAAAAGAGACUUGAGGAGUUGUGCUGUGGACCCCAUUUCUUUGACUCCUCACAGUAGCUUUUGUAAUUCAUGAAUUUGUCUUAUUCCUCAAAUCCGCCCUCCCCCCACCCCCGAGUGUGACCUGAGAUGAUGUUGCCACUCAUCAAUGUUUUAUAAGUUGAAUAUUAACUGAAAUUCCUCAGAUCUGACCUUAAAGAAUCUAUACAAGGCAGACAUUGCUCUGUAAGGAAGGAUGGGUGGUGGUGGCACACAUGCCUUUAAUCCCAACACUUGAUAGACAGGUUCAGGGCCAGCCUGGUCUACAUAGUGAGUUCCAGGAUGGCCAGAGCUACACAGAGAAACUCUAUGUUAAAAAUCAAAACAAACAGCAACAUCAAAAAGCUUUCUGUGGAAAGAAUGACUAUAAUACUAUAAUACUAUAAUAUAAUAUAUAAUAUAUAAUAUAAUACUAUAGUAUGGCCUCCAACUUUAGCCUGAAAAGAAUGAGUUUUCUUUUCACUCCAACAUUAUUCUGUGCUCUCGGUUAUUUUCAUGUCAUUUUUAUAGAAAACAGAAACACACUGUAAAUAUUAUUGAAUGGUAAAGAAGGAAGAAAAACUGUACAAGCAUGAACUCAUAUAUUCCCAGUCUUAUAGCAGCCAGAGUUGUUUUAGCUUGAAGAGCAGAGGUCAGAGUGCAGCUGUGAGACAUCAGUCCUCACAUAUGCCACAUAUGUUGACAUAGGGUACCAAGUCUCUGAUGCUAUGCUGUGCAUUGCCAGCUUCAGGACAGUUCUAACCCUGCCUCCCAUCUUUCUAUGGAAGUGCUAGGGUCACAGAUGCAUACCACCUCAUUCAGCUUUUCACACUGCUUUCAGGGAUUGAAGCAGGUUAUUAAGCUUAUGUGACUAACACUAUUACCCAUUAAGCCAUCUCCCCAGGCUCCAAGUCUCUUUAUCUAAGUAGCAAAUAAACUCUCAACUAUAUGGUGUUUUAUGGCACACUUGACAGAUAGACUAUGGACUCCCUUGAUUCAACUAACUCAGACAGAUUUGGCAAAGCCAGAAGCCAGCAUCUUAUUAUCCAGUCAGAGCCAACAUCCUUAUCCCUGAUCUUGAGUCUUGUCUCUUGACUUGGUUGGAAUUUUAAAUUUCACAGCGCUGCCCUGGGGAUGAGAGGACCGGGAUUCUAUUCUUAGUGUAAUUAGUGGCCUUGAACAGAUGAUCUCAUGACAGGGUCUCCCCCUUCACUGUAAACUGAGAAGGUUAGCUAGAUGACCCCAGAGGCUCUUUUUGGCUCUAAAUUUGGUGACUCUGGAAACACCUGCUCAUGCCAUUUAUGUGUUCAGUGUCUUUCUUCUACUUUUCCAAAAUGUUCUAACUCAUGGCUAUUGUUAUCAUACAUACAAACGUUUUUAAACCUUUUUUUUUAUAAUUUGCUGUAUUGUUUCUUAAUGGUAGCUGGUCUUUCUCUAUUAACUCUUAUUAAGUAUUGUGUAUAUUCUGUUCCACUUUGAAAUUGGGUUAGCAGGCAUGCAGUUGUGAGUAAAACUAUUUCUAAAAUGGAGACCAAUAAUUUGGGUGUGUUUGUUAUUUUGAGAUGAAUUCAAAUGUUCAAAUGGCUUACAAAUCAUCUGCAUUACACAAUAAAUGACGUGUUUUCUAU
Molecule: long non-coding RNA, 3026 nt
Filed under: Mus musculus (house mouse)
Lineage: Eukaryota; Metazoa; Chordata; Mammalia; Rodentia; Muridae
Description: long non-coding RNA chr10:29206263-29209289
Source: RNAcentral